UACGUAGGGUGCAAGCGUUAAUCGGAAUUACUGGGCGUAAAGCGUGCGCAGGCGGUUAUGCAAGACAGGUGUGAAAUCCCCGAGCUCAACUUGGGAACUGCAUUUGUGACUGCAUAGCUAGAGUACGGUAGAGGGGAGUGGAAUUCCGCGUGUAGCAGUGAAAUGCGUAGAUAUGCGGAGGAACACCGAUGGCGAAGGCAGCUCCCUGGACCUGUACUGACGCUCAUGCACGAAAGCGUGGGGAGCAAACAGG
RNAcentral lists this ribosomal RNA (253 nucleotides) under uncultured bacterium. RNAcentral describes it as "partial 16S ribosomal RNA". It matches the Rfam family "Bacterial small subunit ribosomal RNA", at positions 524 to 776 of the family's 1533-position model. The record is from RNAcentral.